CAGAGGGUGCAAGCGUUGUUCGGAAUUACUGGGCGUAAAGCGUGCGCAGGCGGUGAGCUGUGUCCGAUGUGAAAGCCCCGGGCUUAACCUGGGAAUGGCAUUGGAAACUGGCUCGCUGGAGUGUGGCAGAGGGGGGUGGAAUUCCGCGUGUAGCAGUGAAAUGCGUAGAGAUGCGGAGGAACACCGAUGGCGAAGGCAGCCCCCUGGGCUAACACUGACGCUCAGGCACGAAAGCGUGGGGAGCAAACAGG
Molecule: ribosomal RNA, 251 nt
Filed under: uncultured bacterium
Lineage: Bacteria
Description: partial 16S ribosomal RNA
Rfam family: Bacterial small subunit ribosomal RNA
Source: RNAcentral